Long non-coding RNA from Crotalus tigris (Tiger rattlesnake), 507 nucleotides. RefSeq lists it as uncharacterized. NCBI's taxonomy places the organism in Eukaryota, Metazoa, Chordata, Lepidosauria, Squamata, Viperidae. The record is from RefSeq and is a predicted model, not a curated record. The transcript has 2 exons.
CCGCGCUGGCCUCGCCCGUGAGGAGAAGGCGCUCGCGGAGGAGGGGGGAGCGGCUUUAUUCGCUGCUGAACGGCAAGCAAGACCCAGAGGCGGAAGCGGAGGAUGAUAAGGAUGAUGAUGUUCCAAGUUUCGAGCCAUCUUCCUGUCUGGCUCGCCUCUUCAGUAAACUGCAACCUUCUUUCUAAAGCAGUUGCCAUGUUGUUUAUUCCCAGCUUGGACUGAACCAUGAUGAAGACUUUUCCUUCAACAAAGUAAAAUUCAGGAGUAUUUGGUGGGCCAAGUUCUGAUAAAACCACAGAACCUAGCUUGAUUCUAAGAUUUCGUUUGACUGAAAAUGUGUUGGUGCCAAGACCAAAUAACUCAAAGUACAUCAGAUCAACAGACGUAACUUCCCUACAUGGAUUUUUUUUUAAUGGAAAUAUAAGGUCUUGCUGAGAAGUAAAAAGGAGCAAGUCACAGUUGUGGAAAAUAGCCAAAUAAAUCUGGCAGUUGGACAUUGCUACCACA